Transfer RNA from Sphaerulina musiva SO2202, 83 nucleotides. It matches the Rfam family "tRNA". From Rfam's summary of the family: Transfer RNA (tRNA) molecules are approximately 80 nucleotides in length. Their secondary structure includes four short double-helical elements and three loops (D, anti-codon, and T loops). NCBI's taxonomy places the organism in Eukaryota, Fungi, Ascomycota, Dothideomycetes, Mycosphaerellales, Mycosphaerellaceae. The record is from Rfam.
GGUUGUAUAGUGUAGCGGUUAUCACAUCGGAUUCUGAUGUUCAGAAUGUUCCGGGAACCCCGGUUCGAUUCCGGGUACGACCU